GUAAGGAAUAUUGGUCAAUGGGGGCAACCCUGAACCAGCCAUGCCGCGUGAAGGAUGAAGGCGUUAUGCGUUGUAAACUUCUUUUGUAUGGGAAGAAUGACAGGGAUUUAUCCUUGGAGAGACGGUACCAUACGAAUAAGCACCGGCUAACUCCGUGCCAGCAGCCGCGGUAAUACGGAGGGUGCAAGCGUUAUCCGGAAUCACUGGGCUUAAAGGGUACGUAGGCGGUUAAUUAAGUCAGUAGUGAAAGACUGUCGCUCAACGACGGAUGUGCUAUUGAUACUGGUUAACUUGAAUCAGGUUAGAGUUGGCGGAAUGGGUCAUGUAGCGGUGAAAUGCUUAGAUAUGACACAGAACACCAAUUGCGAAGGCAGCUCACUAAGGCGAUACUGACGCUGAGGCACGAAAGCGUGGGGAUCGAACAGGAUUAGAAACCCCAGUAGUCC
Molecule: ribosomal RNA, 446 nt
Filed under: uncultured bacterium
Lineage: Bacteria
Description: partial 16S ribosomal RNA
Rfam family: Bacterial small subunit ribosomal RNA
Source: RNAcentral